UGCAGUUUGGGCUGUCUCUGUGGCUGGUUCUGCGGCGUGCGGCCAGCCAUGGAGCGCUCUGGGCCCAGCGAAGUGACAGGCUCAGACGCAUCGGGACCGGACCCGCAGCUUGCGGUCACCAUGGGCUUCACGGGGUUCGGUAAAAAAGCUCGCACAUUUGACUUGGAAGCAAUGUUUGAACAAACUCGAAGAACAGCUGUGGAAAGAAGUUGCAAAACACUGGGCCACCAGGAACACACCUGUAGCCCAGCAAAGUUGAGGCCAUCAACUGGCUCAUCACAACAAGGAAGGCUGUGCACCACUGGGACCCAGCAGCAGCUCAGCAGCAGCAGUGAAAGGGCCUUGGGAAAGACUCGGAGGGUUUGGCUUAUACAAGGUGAUCUUAGGGAGGGUCAAGGAAACAGGCUGUGAUGGUUAAUAUUGAGUGUCAACUUGAUUGGAUUGAAGGAUGCAAAGGAUUGUUACUGGGUGUAUAUGUGAGAGUGUGGCCAAAGGAGAUUAACAUUUUAAUCAGUGGACUGGGAGAGGCACACCCACCCUCAAUCUGGGUGGGCAUCAUCUAAUCAGCUGCCACAGCAGCUAAAAUAAAGCAGGCAGAAGUUGGAAUGAGCAGACUUGCUGAGUGUUCCAGCCUUCAUCUUUCUCCCAUGCUGGAUGCUUCCUGCCCUCGAAUGUCAGACUCCAAGUUCUUCAGCUUUUUUUUUUUUUUUUUUUUUUUUUGGACUCUUGGACUUACACCAUUGGUUUGCCAGGGGCUCCCAGGCCUCUAGCCGCAGACUGAAGGCUGCACUGUGAGCCUCCCUACCUUUGAAGUUUGGGACUCAGACUGGCUUCUUGGCUCCUCAGCUUGCAGUCGGCCUAUUGUGAGACUUCCCCUUGUGAUCAUGUGAGCCAAUUCUCCUGAUAAACUCACCUUCAUAUAUACAUCUA
Long non-coding RNA from Homo sapiens (human), 930 nucleotides. Ensembl annotates it as GUSB pseudogene 1. Its record names the gene GUSBP1. Lineage: Eukaryota; Metazoa; Chordata; Mammalia; Primates; Hominidae. The record is from Ensembl.